CCUGAACUUUGGGCCUAGCUGUGUAC
Molecule: non-coding RNA, 26 nt
Filed under: Homo sapiens (human)
Lineage: Eukaryota; Metazoa; Chordata; Mammalia; Primates; Hominidae
Source: RNAcentral